GGGUCAUCCCGACUUACCAACCCGAUGCAAACUGCGAAUACCGGAGAAUGUUAUCACGGGAGACACACGGCGGGUGCUAACGUCCGUCGUGAAGAGGGAAACAACCCAGACCGCCAGCUAAGGUCCCAAAGUCAUGGUUAAGUGGGAAACGAUGUGGGAAGGCCCAGACAGCCAGGAUGUUGGCUUAGAAGCAGCCAUCAUUUAAAGAAAGCGUAAUAGCUCACUGGUCGAGUCGGCCUGCGCGGAAGAUGUAACGGGGCUAAACCAUGCACCGAAGCUGCGGCAGCGACACUGUGUGUUGUUGGGUAGGGGAGCGUUCUGUAAGCCUGUGAAGGUGUGCUGUGAGGUAUGCUGGAGGUAUCAGAAGUGCGAAUGCUGACAUAAGUAACGAUAAAGCGGGUGAAAAGCCCGCUCGCCGGAAGACCAAGGGUUCCUGUCCAACGUUAAUCGGGGCAGGGUGAGUCGACCCCUAAGGCGAGGCCGAAAGGCGUAGUCGAUGGGAAACAGGUUAAUAUUCCUGUACUUGGUGUUACUGCGAAGGGGGGACGGAGAAGGCUAUGUUGGCCGGGCGACGGUUGUCCCGGUUUAAGCGUGUAGGCUGGUUUUCCAGGCAAAUCCGGAAAAUCAAGGCUGAGGCGUGAUGACGAGGCACUACGGUGCUGAAGCGACAAAUGCCCUGCUUCCAGGAAAAGCCUCUAAGCAUCAGGUAACAUCAAAUCGUACCCCAAACCGACACAGGUGGUCAGGUAGAGAAUACCAAGGCGCUUGAGAGAACUCGGGUGAAGGAACUAGGCAAAAUGGUGCCGUAACUUCGGGAGAAGGCACGCUGAUAUGUAGGUGAAGCGACUUGCUCGUGGAGCUGAAAUCAGUCGAAGAUACCAGCUGGCUGCAACUGUUUAUUAAAAACACAGCACUGUGCAAACACGAAAGUGGACGUAUACGGUGUGACGCCUGCCCGGUGCCGGAAGGUUAAUUGAUGGGGUCAGCGCAAGCGAAGCUCUUGAUCGAAGCCCCGGUAAACGGCGGCCGUAACUAUAACGGUCCUAAGGUAGCGAAAUUCCUUGUCGGGUAAGUUCCGACCUGCACGAAUGGCGUAAUGAUGGCCAGGCUGUCUCCACCCGAGACUCAGUGAAAUUGAACUCGCUGUGAAGAUGCAGUGUACCCGCGGCAAGACGGAAAGACCCCGUGAACCUUUACUAUAGCUUGACACUGAACACUGGUCCUUGAUGUGUAGGAUAGGUGGGAGGCUUUGAAGUGUGGACGCCAGUCUGCAUGGAGCCGUCCUUGAAAUACCACCCUUUAAUGGCUGGUGUUCUAACGUGGGCCCGUAAUCCGGGUUGCGGACAGUGUCUGGUGGGUAGUUUGACUGGGGCGGUCUCCUCCUAAAGAGUAACGGAGGAGCACGAAGGUUGGCUAAUCCUGGUCGGACAUCAGGAGGUUAGUGCAAUGGCAUAAGCCAGCUUGACUGCGAGCGUGACGGCGCGAGCAGGUGCGAAAGCAGGUCAUAGUGAUCCGGUGGUUCUGAAUGGAAGGGCCAUCGCUCAACGGAUAAAAGGUACUCCGGGGAUAACAGGCUGAUACCGCCCAAGAGUUCAUAUCGACGGCGGUGUUUGGCACCUCGAUGUCGGCUCAUCACAUCCUGGGGCUGAAGUAGGUCCCAAGGGUAUGGCUGUUCGCCAUUUAAAGUGGUACGCGAGCUGGGUUUAGAACGUCGUGAGACAGUUCGGUCCCUAUCUGCCGUGGGCGCUGGAGAACUGAGGGGGGCUGCUCCUAGUACGAGAGGACCGGAGUGGACGCAUCACUGGUGUUCGGGUUGUCAUGCCAAUGGCACUGCCCGGUAGCUAAAUGCGGAAGAGAUAAGUGCUGAAAGCAUCUAAGCACGAAACUUGCCCCGAGAUGAGUUCU
Molecule: ribosomal RNA, 1905 nt
Filed under: Escherichia albertii
Lineage: Bacteria; Pseudomonadati; Pseudomonadota; Gammaproteobacteria; Enterobacterales; Enterobacteriaceae
Description: bacterial LSU rRNA
Rfam family: Bacterial large subunit ribosomal RNA
Source: RNAcentral